This 421-nucleotide ribosomal RNA is filed under the name uncultured archaeon. Its description in RNAcentral is "partial 16S ribosomal RNA". It matches the Rfam family "Archaeal small subunit ribosomal RNA", at positions 323 to 746 of the family's 1478-position model. The record is from RNAcentral.
CUACGGGUUGCUGCAGUCGCGAAAACUCCGCAAUGCACGAAAGUGUGACGGGGCUACCCCGAGUGCCAUCCGCUGAGGAUGGCUUUUCGUUGGUAUAACUAGCCAUUGGAAUAAGGAGAGGGCAAGACUGGUGUCAGCCGCCGCGGUAAUACCAGCUCUCCGAGUGGUAGGGAUGAUUAUUGGGCUUAAAGCGUCCGUAGCCGGCUUAGCAAGUUUCCUGUUAAACCCAGCGACUCAAUCGUUGGAUCGCGGGAAAUACUACUAGGCUAGGAGGCGGGAGAGGUCAACGGUACUUCUGGGGUAGGGGUGAAAUCCUAUAAUCCCGGGAGGACCACCAGUGGCGAAGGCUGUUGACUAGAACGCGCUCGACGGUGAGGGACGAAAGCUGGGGGAGCGAACCGGAUUAGAUACCCGCGUAGUC